Molecule: RNA transcript, 3191 nt
Organism: Homarus americanus (American lobster)
Lineage: Eukaryota; Metazoa; Arthropoda; Malacostraca; Decapoda; Nephropidae
Gene name: pyrroline-5-carboxylate reductase 3-like
Exons: 12
Source: RefSeq, a predicted model, not a curated record
CGCGCAGUCUUCAUCAAAACACCACUGAGUGUGGCUUGAAUUCGCCAAAAUGACGACGAGAAGACCCCUAAACAAGCCAAUCAAGCUAGAGCAAUAUGACUUAUCUGAUGAACCUGAGAUCCAGGAAAAUGAGAAAGAAGAGGAGAUUGUAGAAGAGACCAAGUUUAAGAGCAAAAGAAGAAAACAAGAAAAUGCGUCACCAUAUCAUCCCCGCAGAUUCGUUACUAGAUGGCUAACAAUACCAGAAAUUAGAGGAUGGAUACACCCAUUACGUUCUGAUCCCGCUCAUGUGUGGUGCAAAUUUUGUAGAAAGAAAAUUCGGGCACAUUUAAGUGAUAUGAAAGUUCAUACUAAAACAAGAAAGCACCAGAAGAACAUGAAACUUGUCCUUCCUGAACUUCCUACAGAGGCUGGCAUGGAGAUAGACCACAAAGAAGUUGUUAUCAGUUUCCCUUCAUCAAAGCUUUACCACGAAGACCUUAUAGUUGUGUCUGAAGAUGGAACAGCAACGAGCACAACAAACCCUGCUGUGCCUGGCAAGGAAGUUUUGAACCCAGCAAAUAUUGGGUUUAUUGGAUGUGGUAACAUGGCCCAGGCGCUUCUCAAUGCAUUUAUCAGAAAAGGGUUGAUAGAUCCUUCCCAUGUAAUGGCAAGUGCACCUUCUGACCGCAACCUAACUAAACUUCGCUCUCUAGGGGUGAAGACAACUCAUGACAACAAUGAAGUUGUGAAGCAUAGUGACGUGAUUUUCCUGUGUGUAAAACCUCACCAUCUAACAGAUAUGAUAGGUGACUUGAAUGCAUUGGAAAGAAGCCACAAUCCACUUUUUGUUUCCAUUAUUACAGGAUUUGACAUCAAAACCUUAGAGGAGAUGCUUACUGCCUUGAUAGAUUACCCUCGUGUGAUACGCUUAAUGCCUAAUACCCCAUCAAUGGUUGGACAAGGAUGCUGUGUGUACACCCUUGGAAGCCAUACACCAGAAGCAUAUAAUGAAGUCAUGAAUUCCAUGCUCAGUUCUAUAGGAUUAAGUGCAGAGAUUCCUGAGUACCAGAUGGAUGCUGCUUGUGGUUUGGCAGGAUCAGGACCAGCUUAUAUAUAUGCAGCUAUAGAAGCUCUAGCAGAUGGUGGGGUUAAAAUGGGUCUUCCUCGGCAGUUGGCUCAGACCUUGGCUGCUCAGAUGGUUAAGGGAGCAGCAACAAUGGUUCUUGAAAGUGGAAAGCAUCCAGGUCAGUUAAAGGAUGAGGUCUGCUCUCCAGGAGGCACUACUAUUGCAGCCAUGCACAGCCUAGAGAAAAAUGGCCUUCGGAAUGCUCUCAUAUCAGCAGUGGAAGCAUCAGCACUACGCUCAAAAGAAUUAGGCACCAAGAAGUGAAAAAUCAUGUGGAUAACCAGUGAAAUCCUACAGCAGUGGAAGCUUGUAGAGCUCUUCGUGACAGUCUCAUCUGACCUGAUGCUGGAUCACGUCCAAAAUACUUUACCUUAACCUGUUGUCCAACUUCAAGACCAAGUGCACUGGGAUGGUGUACCUGUUGACAAAGUUUUACUUAUUACAGCGUGUGACUAAACCAAUCGCUAUCCCAGCUGCUGGUGAAGAUAUGUUAACACCAGCAUCCAUCAAGGCCAAGCUACCACCACAUACAGUUGCCAUGGAAGAGGACCCUGGAGAAUACAGGUAUAAAGGCAUGGAAUAAAAAAAAUGGAAUCACAAGAUAUUUUGGUGCAAGCUCCCUGCGAAGAUAAUUGGAAGGAAUGCGUCCUGCAGCAGCAUAUUUUUGACGAUAGUCUACUGUGAGAGGCAUAAAUCCUGGGGAGGGACCAGUGCGGCCUUUGCUCACAGCAGUAAUAAGGACUGAGGUAUCACCUAUGGUAGCCACAGCAGCACCAUCUGCUAAGCGAGCAUACUCUCCAGUUUCAAGGUGUAUUGUCCGCCUGUAAAAAUGUAAAUACAGGGUAUCGGUAUAUUAACAGAUAUUUUUUCAUACACACAACAAGCCUUUUCCUGUUAUCAUGCUAGGAGACAAGAGAUGAUGACUUAAUGUUUAAUACAUUCAGUGCCUCAUGGGUUACCCCAUCCUUUGGCAAGAUACUAUUUCACCGCCAGUAAGCGCACCAUAUUGUGCAGACAUUUUGUCAAUAAGUGCGUGAUGGAUACAAAAAAAGAAAGAAACCAAAUUUUACAUUCAAGGCAAAUGCUCUGCUGCUAAAGAAAUACCAAUAAUGGUGUUUAUUAUAAGUGUGUUUUUUUUGUACUAUAAUAAAUUUCAUAAGAAAAUUGCAUAAACUGCUGUAUACUGUACACAGCCAGUUUUCUACUCAAUAGAUAUUUACUGUCAUGUUGCUUUUCUGCGACAACAAAUUAAGGAAUACAUUUCUGGCAAAAAGGCAAUAUUAAUUUCUAUUUUCUUUUUACAUAAAAUAAUUUAUACAUACCUAACAAUAAAUACCAAGUAGUUGAUCUUAUGUAACAUCAUUUCCCAUCAUAACUUGCAAUAUGCUGAUGGAUUGAGAUGAAGAAAUCUUUGGGUGUGUGAGGGAAUGAGCCAUGGGUGUGGGAGGAAAAGAGCAGCAGCAGGUGUGUGUGUGUGAGAAAGAUUGAAAGGUGGUGUGUGAUGGAGGGAACAAGUAAAAUAAUAUAUUUUCUGAAAUUCAAAGUUGGGUGCAAAUAACCAAUAAAUUUCUGAAGCAAAAGAUUGUAGCCCUGUUCUUCCAAAAUCCAUUCAAACAAAACUAUCAGCCAUAAUGUAUUGCAAAAUUCUGAAAAAAAACAAGGAAUAUAACACUAGAAUGAAUAAUAUCAAGAUCAGUACUACUGUAGUUCAUCCUUUGGAAUUUCACUUUACCAUACCUUAGAUAAAGCACCGGUAUAUACUGUAACAACUAUCAAUAUCCCUACAAAACAUCACUGAGGAGAACUUGAAAAAAAAAUUAUAUUUCCUUCUACAGUAUUCUAAUAUGUACAAUGAUUUAAACUUUUGUGCAAUCGUUUAGCAGUUGACUCAUGAAUCUGUGAAGCAUGUAUUGUUCAGUUGGUUCAGUUCACAGUGGUAUGGUUUGUUAUUGAUUGCAUCCAAUGUACUCUAAUAAAUAAAUUGUGUACCUUGGUUGUGAUCAGUGCAUAAGUCGGAUACUGUAUUGUAAAAUUGCUAUGUACAGUACUUGUUAUAUUGACCCAAUAAAGAUUUAACUGUUUA